Long non-coding RNA from Lontra canadensis (Northern American river otter), 301 nucleotides. RefSeq lists it as uncharacterized. Lineage: Eukaryota; Metazoa; Chordata; Mammalia; Carnivora; Mustelidae. The record is from RefSeq and is a predicted model, not a curated record. The transcript is spliced from 3 exons.
CUGCACACCUGCCUCGGCCCCCGCCUUUCUAGGGAUCAGAGCCCAGUUUUGAAUGCUGGAAGUCCAAAAUUAAGGUGUCAUUGAACUUGGUUCCUGCUGAAGACUUCUGAGGAAGGAACUGUUCCAUGCCUCUCUCCUAGCUUCUGAUGCUUGCCAGUGGUCUGCAGUGUUCUCUGUGUUCAGGUUUCAGUGUUCUUGGAAAGGAAUUUUCAGAAUUCUGGGUCUGAAAGAAAUGUCUUAUUGCAACUCCUGCUAACCGAAAUGUAAUCCUAACCAACCUCAUGUGUCAGAUCACACUGUG